UACGUAGGGAGCAAGCGUUGUCCGGAAUCAUUGGGCGUAAAGCGCGCGUAGGUGGCCCCAUAAGUCCGCUGUGAAAGUCAAAGGCUCAACCUUUGAAAGCCGGUGGAUACUGUGGGACUAGAGUACGGAAGAGGCGAGUGGAAUUCCUGGUGUAGCGGUGGAAUGCGCAGAUAUCAGGAGGAACACCGGUGGCGAAGGCGGUUCUCUGGGCCUUACCUGACGCUGAGGAGCGAAAGCGUGGGGAGCAAACAGG
RNAcentral lists this ribosomal RNA (253 nucleotides) under uncultured bacterium. RNAcentral's name for it is "partial 16S ribosomal RNA". It matches the Rfam family "Bacterial small subunit ribosomal RNA", at positions 524 to 776 of the family's 1533-position model. The record is from RNAcentral.